UAGCUUAUCACACUGAUGUUGAC
This 23-nucleotide non-coding RNA is filed under the name Gallus gallus (chicken). Lineage: Eukaryota; Metazoa; Chordata; Aves; Galliformes; Phasianidae. The record is from RNAcentral.